RNAcentral lists this ribosomal RNA (462 nucleotides) under uncultured bacterium. RNAcentral's name for it is "partial 16S ribosomal RNA". It matches the Rfam family "Bacterial small subunit ribosomal RNA", at positions 28 to 507 of the family's 1533-position model. The record is from RNAcentral.
GAUGAACGCUGACAGAAUGCUUAACACAUGCAAGUCUUUGGCGAAGCUGUGCUUGCACAGCCUAGCCAAGGCGGACGGGUGAGUAACGCGUAAGGAACUUGCCCUGCAGUCAGGGAUAACAGACGGAAACGACUGAUAAGACCUGGUAAAGUCAGGCGGACUCAUGUCCAGCCUGAUGAAAAGAGAUGCUGCAGGAGAGCCUUGCGUCCUAUUAGCUUGUUGGUGGGGUAACGGCCCACCAAGGCGAUGAUAGGUAGCCGGCCUGAGAGGGUGGACGGCCACAAGGGGACUGAGAUACGGCCCUUACUCCUACGGGAGGCAGCAGUGGGGAAUAUUGGACAAUGGGGGCAACCCUGAUCCAGCAAUUCGGUGUGCACGAUGAAGGUUUUCGGAUGGUAAAGUGCUUUCAGCAGGGAAGAAAAAAUGACGGUACCUGCAGAAGAAGCGACGGCUAAAUACGUG